This 253-nucleotide ribosomal RNA is filed under the name uncultured bacterium. Its description in RNAcentral is "partial 16S ribosomal RNA". It matches the Rfam family "Bacterial small subunit ribosomal RNA", at positions 524 to 776 of the family's 1533-position model. The record is from RNAcentral.
UACGUAGGGGGCAAGCGUUGUUCGGAAUUACUGGGCGUAAAGGGCGCGUAGGCGGCACGGCAAGUCGGGAGUGAAAGCCCGGGGCUCAACCCCGGAACGUCUUUCGAAACUGCCGAGCUAGAGUGCGGAAGGGGCAACUGGAAUUCCCAGUGUAGCGGUGAAAUGCGCAGAUAUCAGGAGGAACACCGGUGGCGAAGGCGGGACUCUGGGCCGAUACUGACGCUGAGGAGCGAAAGCGUGGGGAGCAAACAGG